RNAcentral lists this ribosomal RNA (197 nucleotides) under uncultured bacterium. RNAcentral describes it as "partial 16S ribosomal RNA". It matches the Rfam family "Bacterial small subunit ribosomal RNA", at positions 1304 to 1500 of the family's 1533-position model. The record is from RNAcentral.
CCUGNAACCCGGCUGUAUGAAGCUGGAAUCGCUAGUAAUCGCAGAUCAGAAUGCUGCGGUGAAUACGUUCCCGGGUCUUGUACACACCGCCCGUCACACCAUGGGAGCCAGGAAUGCCCGAAGCCAGUGGCCUAACCGCAAGGGAGGAGCUGUCGAAGGCAGGCCCGGUAACUGGGGUGAAGUCGUAACAAGGUAUC